This 1456-nucleotide long non-coding RNA is filed under the name Homo sapiens (human). RNAcentral describes it as "non-protein coding lnc-MAST4-6:2". The record is from RNAcentral. Lineage: Eukaryota; Metazoa; Chordata; Mammalia; Primates; Hominidae.
AGGCUGAGGGAGCUGCACCUGAGGAAACCCAGGAGGCAAAGGUGGUCCUGGUCAGGAUGAUGAGGAGGUCCGUGUGGCUGGAGCAGGUGAGCUAGGUGGAGAGAGGCCGUAGAUGAGGGCAGAGCUGCUGCGGGAGCCAAACGUGUAAGGAUCUUUUCGGGCAGUGAGAGGACGUUGGUUUCUCACAGCAGAGAAGGGACAUCAUCUGACAUAUUUUAAAAGUAUCUCUCCGGCUCCCUUGUGGACUGUAAGGGACCAAGAGUUGAAACAGGCACCCAGGAGGAGUCCUUCCAGCAACUGAGAGGACUUGGUCCGAUUCUACCUCCGGAACAAUGCUCAGCCCACAGCCCUCAUUCCCUCCGUGAUGAACAGUAACUGUGGACUUUUGACCUUCCUCUUGAGCUUGGUCUGAGUCUUGGCAUUUACAACCACGGCUCUAGACAACACCUAUUGGUCCUUUGAAACAACUCUCAGGCUUUACGUUCAUUCUGAAGACUUCCUUUAUGUUGACCUCCAUUCACUGCUACCCAUCCAUUGUGCCCAGGAUGUGGCAGAGGCAUAUAUGAUGUUGAGGGAAUAUUGCAGUUACACUUACCUAACUGAUGGCAUGUUGGGAGGAUGGAGUAGUACAAUUUAAGGAUUUCAUGCUGUAUGGAUCACUUCUUGUACCCUUUCUUACAUCCUCUUAGCCUACCUUUUGACUCCAGGCAUUGCUGUGAUAACUGUGUGAUUGUAACCUAUCAGCCUCUCCCUUCAGCUGCACCACCAAACUCUCGCUUUCUGACCUGGGGCUUCUCUGAGGCUGUUGUUGACUUUGCAGAAACCGGGUUAGCCAUUCUGCCCUAUGCACACACCACAAGUGGGAAUGAAUGAAAACCCCAUGGGGGCAAUGAUGGGAGCUGACGAUAGUACUUCCCUUGGCAUCCCUUAGAAAGACAUACGAGGGACUCAUUCGGCAAGGCAACCCAAAGCAUCCCAAGAGGGGGGCGCCUCACUUGCCUAUACCAGUGAUCAGCUCAGUAAAAGACCUCUGGAUUGGCUUUCCCUCCCCCUGUUUCAGUCUGCCUUGUUCUUUCCUCCUGUUCUUUGGAAUCAUUUCCCAAAGUAAACUCUUGUCUCAGGCCCAGCUUUUGGAGAGAACCCAGACUAAGACAGCUUAUUUAAAAUCAGCUUUACUCGGCCAGCGCGGUGGGUCACGCCUGUAAUCCCAGCACUUUGGGAGGCCGAGGCGGACGGAGCACGAGGUCAGGAGAUCGAGACCAUCCUGGCUAACAUGGUGAAACCCCGUCUCUACUAAAAAUACACACACACACACAAAAUUAGCCAGGUGUGGUGGCAGUCGCCUGUAGUCCCAGCUACUUGGGAGGCUGAGGCAGGAGAAUGGCGUGAACCCGGGAGGUGGAGCUUACAGUGAGCCGAGAUUGCGCCACUGCACUCCAGCCUGGGCGACAGAGUG